UGCUGCAUGGUUGUCGUCAGCUCGUGCCGUGAGGUGUCGGGUUAAGUCCCAUUAACGAGCGCAACCCUUAUCGUUAGUUGCCAUCUGGUAAUGCAGGGGACUCUAGCGAAACUGCCACCGUAAGGUGAGAGGAAGGUGGGAUGACGUCAAAUCAGCACGGCCCUUAUGUCCAGGGCUACACACGUGUUACAAUGGUCGGUACAGAGGGCAGCUACCUGGUGACAGGAUGCUAAUCUCGAAAACCGGUCUCAGUUCGGAUUGCAGGCUGCAACUCGCCUGCAUGAAGCCGGAAUCGCUAGUAAUCGCGGAUCAGCAUGCCCGCGGUCGAAUACGUUCCCGGGCCUU
Molecule: ribosomal RNA, 345 nt
Filed under: uncultured Sphingobacteriales bacterium
Lineage: Bacteria; Pseudomonadati; Bacteroidota; Sphingobacteriia; Sphingobacteriales
Description: bacterial SSU rRNA
Rfam family: Bacterial small subunit ribosomal RNA
Source: RNAcentral